RNAcentral lists this ribosomal RNA (843 nucleotides) under Triticum aestivum (bread wheat). RNAcentral describes it as "partial small subunit ribosomal RNA". The record is from RNAcentral. Lineage: Eukaryota; Viridiplantae; Streptophyta; Magnoliopsida; Poales; Poaceae.
AUGGAAGAGGAAGUGCAAGCAAUGGAUGAAGCUCUAGAUAACCUUCAUGUUGACCCGGAGGACUAUGGUGUGUAUGCCGGAGAUAUAGAGAUUCAGUUUGACGAAGAAGAGCUUGAUGAUUCAGAACCGCAUGAAGCCAUGUACGAUUCAGCACCAGAUGAAGACAUGGAUGUGGAGCAAGAAGAUAAUGAACAAGUUCAUAAUGAAGACAAAUACAAGAAUUUAAUAGAUUUGCAAAGGACUGGUAUUUAUGAAGAAUUGCUAGCAAGAAGUGUCAACCGGAGAUUAAAGAAUACCACAACCAGAGAAGUUGCAAACAUGUUCCAAGUUUCAGUGUACAAGGUCAGACGCGUUUGGAGGAGGGUGAAGCAGUGUCUUCGACAAGGCAUACCCGUUGAUGUACGAUCAAGGAAGCCCAAAAAUUGUGGUCGCAAAAGGAUUGUAGUUGACCUUGGUAGGGUUCCAGAGAUUCCUCGGAGUCAAAGGAGAACUAUACGUAGUCUUGCAAGAGCUUUGGGUGUGAAGAAAAGCACAUUACAUAGGAUGUUUACGGAAGGCUUGCUAGAUAGGCAUUCCAGCUCACUCAAGCCAUAUUUGAAGGAAGCAAACAUGAAGGCUAGGCUACGGCAUUGUCUCUCUAUGUUUGACACGCAAAGUUUGCCAAAUAAGCCCACAUUCAAGGACAUGCGUAACAUAUUACAUUUAGAUGAAAAGUGGUUUAACACCACCCAAAAGACCAUGAAAUUCUACAAGCUGCCAUCAGAAGAAAACCCACAUAGGACUGUGCAAAAUAAAAACUCCAUUGGAAAAAAUAAUGUUUUUGGUUGUAAUAGGCAGGCCUAG